CAUGCGUGGACCCGGUGCGACGAGAGGUGGAGGCUUCUUUCUCUGAUUUGCAACGGAAGUGAGUAAGGCAAAAGACUGGAAAUUACAGGUCGAUUAGCCUGACCUCCGUUAUUGGUAAGGUUUUGGAGUCCAUUGUGAAAGGAAGUAGAAGGGGAGGAUUCGCUGUUGGGAAACUUCAGGAUCUGACAGUAUUGUCCAAUUUAUCAUAACCACAUGGAGGGGAAAUUUGCUGUUCACAAUGAAGAGAAACCGUACACAUGUUGUGUGUGUGGACGGGGUUUCAGCCAAGCAUCCGGGUUAUCGAAACAUAAAUGGAGCCACAAAAGGGAGAAACCAUGGAAGUGCGGGGACUGUGGCAAGGGGUUCAGAUUCCCAUCUGAGCUGGAAACUCACCGGCGCAGUUACACCGGGGAGACCCCGUUCACCUGCUCUGUGUGCGGAAAGGGAUUCACUCAGUCAUCCCACCUCCGGAGACACCAACGAGUUCACACAGGGGAGAGGCCAUUCAUCUGCCCUGACUGUGGAAACGGAUUCACUAAUUCCUCCAAUCUGCUGGUACACCGGAGAGUUCACACUGGGGAGAGGCCAUUCACUUGCUCCGAGUGUGGGAAGGGGUUCACUCUCUCAUCCAGCCUGUCGACACACCAGCGGAUUCACACUAGGCAGAAACUGGAGAGUGACCGUUCACGUGCUUCAAGUGUGAAAGGAGAUUCAGUCAAUCAUCCCAACUGACAAAACACCACCAAUUUCACUUCUAACUGCAGUAAUGGGAUAUUGCUGUCAGUCACUUCCAUGCUCAUUGGGGUCUGUUUCUACUUAUGUUAAUAAACUCCAGGCCAGGGGUAAUAUUCUGCAGAUCGUGCGGGGGGUGCGCUAGGGGUAGGGGUAGGGGUAGGGAUAGGUAGUGGUAGGGGUAAUGUGACUAGACUAAUAACCAGAGCACCAGACUAAUGUUCUGAGGACAUGGAUUCAAAGCCCAUCAUAGCAAUUGGGUGAAAUUUGAAUUCACAAAAUAUUUGGAUUCAAAGCUAGCUAGCUUAACAUGUAACCAUCAAUCAUUGUAACAACCCAUUUAAUUAGGGUAGAAAAUCUGCCAUCCUUAUCUGGUCUAAUACACAUGACUCCACACCCACAGUAAUGUGAUUCACUCUGACUCUGUCUUGUAACUGCUCGCUGAAAUGGCCUGACAAGCCAGUUAGCUAUAUCAAACCACUGCAAAGGAUAUAAAAAGGAAUCGAACUGGACUGACCAACCAGUCUUGACCUAGACAGCAGAAAAGACAAGGGCAAAGGUAGCACUGCAAGGUUCAAUAAAGAAUGCAAGAGGGCAUACCUUAAAAUGGAGUACCAAUUUGGCAACACUACAGUAUACAACCACUAGAAUACCAAACAGCAAAAGAAGUAUUCAGUAGAUGGAACUGAGUGAUUCCACAACUAACUGAUCAUACCUAAGCUUUCUAAACCUGCCAUUUCCAGUCAUGAAUGGUGGUGGAUAAUUAAAGAACUAUUAGGAGGUGGAGGCUCCACAAAUAUUGCCACCCUGACAUGUGGAUAAGCCAGCAUAUCAAUGCAACAGACAAGGCAUUUGUAACAAUCUUCAGCCAGAAGUGCCUUGUGGUUGAUCCAUCUCUGCCGCCUCUAAGCUCCCCAACAUUGGUCUUCAGCCAAUGCAACUUGGUCCCAGUGAUAUCAAGGAAUAGAGGCCCACCAAAUUAGAGUCAGUGGGCAUUGGGGGAAAACUCUCCACUGGUUACAGUCAGACUUAACACAAAGGAAGAUAGUUUUGGUUGUUGGAGGUCAGUCACCUCAACUCCAGGACACCUUUACAGGAGCUCCUCAGGGUACUGUCCUAGGCCCAACCAUCUUCAGCUGCUUCAUCAAUGACCUUGCCUCCAUCAUAAUGUCGUAAGUGGGGAUGUUAGACAGUGAUUGUGCAAUGUUCACUGAUAUUCUCAACUCCUCAGACACUGAAGGAUUCUGCCGAUAAGCGGCAAGAUCUGGACAGUAUCCACAUUUGGGCUGACAAAUGGCAAAUGAUAUUUGUGCCACACAAAUGCCAAGCAAUGACCACAUCCAGCUUAAGAGCAUCUAACUAUCACCCCUUGACAUUCAGUUGCAUUACCAAUGCUGAAUUCCUCCACUAUCAACAGCCUGGGCAUUAUUAUUGACCAAAAUGAACUAGAUACACUAUAUCUUGCUGCAAGAGGAGGUUAGUGGCUAGGAGUUCUGCAGCGGAUAGCUUGCCUCCCGUUUCCACAAAGCCUGUCUGCUUUCUACAAGGCACAAGCAAGGAGUGUGAUGGAAUAGCCCUCACUUGUCUUGAGUGUCACUGGAGCUGUGCUCAUCAAGAAGCUUGAUACAUCCAGAACAAAGCAGCUACUUCAUUAGCACCUUAUCCACCACCUUCAAACUACAGUCCAUUCAGUAUCAGUGGACUAUGGCAGCAGUGUGCAUCACCUACAGGAUGAACUGCAGUAAGUUACCACUUUGACAAGCCCUUCCAAAUGUGAAGCCUGUGUACCUAGAAGGACAAGGGUGUCAGAUUCAAGGGGACACUACCAGCUGUAAUUUCCCCUCCAAGUCCUUCACCAUUCUGAUUUGGAACAAUAUCUCCAUUCCGAUGCUGUUGCUGGGUCAAAAUCUUGGAACUCCCCGCCGAAUAAUAAAUUGGAUGACCCUACACCUCAAGGAUGGCAAUGUUUCAAGAGGCAAUUAGGGAUGGACAAUUCAUGCUAGUCUCACCACAUGCUUUGAAUGAAUUAAUAAGUAUUAAAAUAAAUCGACUUUGUUAAAUGCA
Long non-coding RNA from Stegostoma tigrinum, 2796 nucleotides. RefSeq lists it as uncharacterized. The transcript has 3 exons. NCBI's taxonomy places the organism in Eukaryota, Metazoa, Chordata, Chondrichthyes, Orectolobiformes, Stegostomatidae. The record is from RefSeq and is a predicted model, not a curated record.